Molecule: long non-coding RNA, 691 nt
Organism: Cajanus cajan (pigeon pea)
Lineage: Eukaryota; Viridiplantae; Streptophyta; Magnoliopsida; Fabales; Fabaceae
Source: RefSeq, a predicted model, not a curated record
UAUAUAUAAUAAUUGUAGUAAUUAUGAAUUCAAUCAGACGAAAUUCAAUCGAAUUCCAAUUCCCUUCAUUUGAAUAAAAUAUUAUUAUAAAUAGUACAUUUUGUAAUAAUGUAUUAGAAUCCAAAUCAAAUCCUAACAUGGCCUCUUCUAAGUGCAGUAGCAAUGUGAAUGCAAUUGGCAAAGCAAUAAUUGUGAAUGUAUAGCAAUUGGCAAUUAUGUGCGUAGGAAAUGUGAUACGUGGCAAAGCAAUUAUAUAGCAAUCAUAUAGCUUUAGCGUAAGCAAUUACGUAAGGGGAUAAGAUACAAUUGUGUAGUAAGUGAGAUUUCAUUUCCUAUAAAUAGGCUCCCAUUAAGACAUGCAGCAACGGGAAAAAUUGAAGAGAACGUAUGAUAAUAAAAAUCUGAUAAGUGUGUAUUUCUAGAUGGAUCAACUUGAGAUUCCAGAUCAUUUUGCUGUUGUUGUUAUUGCUGUCCUACUUGGAAGGAAAUCGGAAUAUGGAGGCUAUUUGAUGGAUUUGUUAUAACUUUACUUGUCAAUCAUAUUAUUUUAAUUGAAAUUUUCUUUCCAUUAUGAAUAUAAAUAUUGUAUUGAAAGGGUAAGGAAGAGGAAUAAUGUGUAAAUUAAUACGUUAUUCUAAAUAUUUUAGAACGAUAUGUCAUGUAUUAAAUUCACAAAAUAAUCUUUUCUUUA